Molecule: long non-coding RNA, 1830 nt
Filed under: Sus scrofa (pig)
Lineage: Eukaryota; Metazoa; Chordata; Mammalia; Artiodactyla; Suidae
Description: lncRNA (ENSSSCG00055020808.1)
Source: RNAcentral
CUGGACAGAGACCCUCAGACACACAGGUGCUUGGGUAGGAAGCCAUCAGUGCCCCCAAAAAUUGUCCAGCAAAGACACAGAUGAGGUUGGGGCUAGGCUGAGUGCCUUUGGGCAUGUGUUGACAUACAGCUUUUUUGGGUUUUAUUUCAGGUGAAAUGAACUCUUAGGAAACCACUGAUGGAUUCAUCAAGAAGCCCUAAACCUUGGAAAAGCCAAGAGACCAGAGGUCUCACCUUAAAGGUAUCUGGUCCUUCGACCUCACCGUGACCCAGCUUCUUCAGGAGAACAUUCCAGAAGCAGAGCAAGGGGCUGUGAACGGUGUGCAAUGCUUCCUGAACCACCUCAUGGCCCUCCAUCCACUUCGUCUGGGUCAUGCUGGCUCUGCGGCCAUGGCAUUUCAGCGUCUCGUCUUCAUCUUCAUCCUAUUUGUAACCAUGGGGCACAUGCUGUAUUUUUUUUUUUUUAAUGCAAGAAAGUGUAAGAUUAGAAACGCCCAUGUUCAGAAGACAGCAAAGAAGGGAGCUUUAACCUGACAGAGAUGGAACAGAGGAGAUCAGAAAGAAUAGACAAUAAUGGCCACUCAUCCUGCUUCCAGUAUGAAGAUUCCCCUACAUCUAGCAUGGACAGAAGUGUUGACAGAGGGAGGAGUUUUGGCAGAACAACAGAAGUCAAGUACGGCAAUGGCAAAGAAAAAGCCAACUACUAAGCCUGUCUGUCUACCACAUUACUUUAUUGGCUUCCAAAUAAACCCAAUCCUAGGGGACAAAAGAUGUGAAUCCAUAUCAGAAGAGAGAGGCAGUUCUGGAUUCCUGAGGUGUGUAAAGCUUUGAUUCUGCCCCCUCUCUGUAAGGUCUGUUUUCACCAGUCCAUAGCCCUAGGCUUGGUCUUGGAGCUGGGUUCUUCAGGAUAGGCUUCCUGUACAUGAGCUCAUAUGGACUCAACCUGAGUUUCCUUUGGGGGCCAUUUGCAUUCUCAAAAGUGCUGUGGGGAGAAGGGAGAUCUAGGCUGAUGAAUGAACCACAGGAGAAUUCCUAAAUUUUUGCUGAGGGUUUGGUUUGUUCUACUUUUCCUGAGGAUUGUGGCCUCCAAGUAGCGUGUGAACCCCAUUUGAUUCGUAGAGCUCUAGAGUUUCUCUUAGUAAUUUGGGAAAAUAACAUGGGCCCGUUGUGACUCUGGAUGGAUAUAAGGAGCCUGAGCUGAAGAUUACUUCCUUGAGCAAGGCCUUAGACCUCCAAGCAGUCUCUGUUUGAGUGGGGAAUGCUCCAUUAGUUGGAGAAGGUGUCAAAACCAGCAUAGGAGUUCCCUGGUAGCCUCAUGGUUAAGGAUUAGGCAUUGUCACUGCUAUGGUUCGAGUUCAUUUCCCAGCCUGGGAACCUCUGUGUACCAUGAAUGUGGCCAAAAAACAAAACAAAACCAGGAUAUAUCUAAAAUUUAAUUGCCCCAGGGCAUUACUGUGAAAUCAGAUUGCCAGUCUUAACCUGCAUAUGUGCCUUUAUACUGGGUGGGGGUCACUCCCUUGGCCUUGGGUCGGGGGAGGUGUGUUGGGCUUAUUCCAGAGGCAGAUAGGGCAGCUUUUACCACCUGUUUAAGUAGACUGCAGAAAUUGGGAGUAGUCAUGGAUUGGAUAAGCUAUUGAUACAGGGCCUCCUGCCUAUAAAGUAUGCUCUAGUGAGUUUCCCAGAGAGCAAUGGCUGAUGGGAGAAUAGCUGCCCAUGACCAUUAACCAGCUACCUGGGUAUUAUGCCUUUUAAAACAACCCCACCUUUGAGUUUCCUGGUGGCCUAGUGGUUUAGGAUUUGGCAUUGUCACUGCUGUGGCUCAGAUUUGAUC